ACACCACACUUAUGUUGUAAGACAGUAGUAGGUCCAUGGUAUGGUUGAAAUUCAGCAUGAUUUUACCCAAUACAUAGAUUAAAUGCAAAAAACAACAACAACCCUUCAUGCUAAAACAGAGAAAAUAAUUACAUGCAGUCACUUUUUAACUGAUACCCAUUAUCAUUAUAAGAACAAUAUUUAUUGUCUUACAUGACAAAACACACCCAAGGUUGACAUAAAGAUAUAUUAAAAUAAAAAUUCAAAUAUAAACUCAUCAAUAAAAAUUCUGAACAAAGAUACAAAUAUGAAAUAAUGAUCUAGAGAAAUAUAAAAAUUUCAGAUGCCUUACAAUGCCUCAUCUUCAUGUAUUUAAAGAACCACCAAUAUAAAACAAGCAAGAUAUACAACAUAUAUACAUACUGAAUCUCCAUAAAGAUCUUAUCAUAUAUAAAACCUGUUACAUCAAUUCUAAAAAUGAUACGCAGGCAAGCACAUUUCAGAUGAUAAAACCAUCACACUUGGACAAGACAAGCAUCAUUGCAUAUUCAUUCUAGGAUAAAAAUUAAACUAUUCAAUCUAUUUUUAAAUUCUUGAAGGCACAUACGAUUUCUAUAAUCAUGAAAGACUAUUAUUCAUUCAUUUUCUUCAAUGAAAGUUUGAUUUAUCACUAGACUAUAAUUACUGGAAUGAAAAUCAAAUGUAAUACAUAAAAUAAUAGUCCCAUAAUUGUAAAAUGGUCAAAAGCUACAUGUGGGGCUAUUAUUCAGUGGAAGGAAUGCCAUUUAUCCAGGGAAACAUAUAAAAAGGUAUGAGGGCUUGGCUAAAAAUGUUCUCUUUAAAACAUAGAUACAGUAUACAGUGUAUGUGUUUUUUCAAAUAUGAAAUUAGUUAUGGAGAUCAAAACAUUUUUAGGUCUACGUAAUAAAUUCAUUUUGUUUGUAAGUAAUGACACAAUAUAUAGGAGUACAAAUAUAAUAACGGUCAAGUCCACCUCAGAAAAAUGUGGAUUUGAAUCAAUAGCGAAAAAUCAAACGAGACUUACGGUGAAAAUUUUAUCAAAAUCGUAUGUAAAAU
Molecule: long non-coding RNA, 1056 nt
Organism: Lytechinus variegatus (green sea urchin)
Lineage: Eukaryota; Metazoa; Echinodermata; Echinoidea; Temnopleuroida; Toxopneustidae
Exons: 2
Source: RefSeq, a predicted model, not a curated record